Molecule: ribosomal RNA, 793 nt
Filed under: uncultured archaeon
Lineage: Archaea
Description: bacterial SSU rRNA
Rfam family: Archaeal small subunit ribosomal RNA
Source: RNAcentral
ACGGCUCAGUAACACGUGGAUAACCUGCCCUUGGGACCGGGAUAACCCCGGGAAACUGGGGAUAAUACCGGAUAACGCAUAUCUGCUGGAAUGCUUUAUGCGUAAAAUGGAUUUGUCUGCCCAAGGAUGGGUCUGCGGCCUAUCAGGUAGUAGUGGGUGUAAUGUACCUACUAGCCUACGACGGGUACGGGUUGUGAGAGCAAGAGCCCGGAGAUGGAUUCUGAGACAUGAAUCCAGGCCCUACGGGGCGCAGCAGGCGCGAAAACUUUACAAUGCGGGAAACCGUGAUAAGGGGACACCGAGUGCCAGCAUCAUAUGUUGGCUGUCCAGAUGUGUAAAAUACAUCUGUUAGCAAGGGCCGGGCAAGACCGGUGCCAGCCGCCGCGGUAACACCGGCGGCCCGAGUGGUGAUCGUGAUUAUUGGGUCUAAAGGGUCCGUAGCCGGUUUGGUCAGUCCUCCGGGAAAUCUGACGGCUCAACCGUUAGGCUUUCGGUGGAUACUGCCAGACUUGGAACCGGGAGAGGUAAGAGGUACUACAGGGGUAGGAGUGAAAUCUUGUAAUCCCUGUGAGACCACCUGUGGCGAAGGCGUCUUACCAGAACGGGUUCGACGGUGAGGGACGAAAGCUGGGGGCACGAACCGGAUUAGAUACCCGGGUAGUCCCAGCCGUAAACGAUGCUCGCUAGGUGUCAGGCAUGGCGCGACCGUGUCUGGUGCCGCAGGGAAGCCGUGAAGCGAGCCACCUGGGAAGUACGGCCGCAAGGCUGAAACUUAAAGGAAUUGGCGGGGGAG